This 404-nucleotide ribosomal RNA is filed under the name Verrucomicrobiota bacterium. RNAcentral describes it as "Verrucomicrobia bacterium partial 16S ribosomal RNA". It matches the Rfam family "Bacterial small subunit ribosomal RNA", at positions 355 to 776 of the family's 1533-position model. Lineage: Bacteria; Pseudomonadati; Verrucomicrobiota. The record is from RNAcentral.
UGGGGAAUAUUGCACAAUGGGGGAAACCCUGAUGCAGCGACGCCGCGUGAGCGAUGAAGGCUUUCGAGUCGUAAAGCUCUGUCCUAUGGGAAGAUAAUGACGGUACCAUAGAAGAAAGCCCCGGCUAAUUACGUGCCAGCAGCCGCGGUAAUACGUAAGGGGCGAGCGUUGUCCGGAAUUAUUGGGCGUAAAGAGUGCGUAGGCGGCAAAUUAAGUCAGAUGUGAAAACUAAGGGCUCAACCCAUAGAUUGCAUCUGAAACUGAUAUGCUUGAGUCAAGGAGAGGAAAGUGGAAUUCCUAGUGUAGCGGUGGAAUGCGUAGAUAUUAGGAGGAAUACCGGUGGCGAAGGCGACUUUCUGGACUUGAACUGACGCUGGGGGACGAAAGCGUGGGGAGCGAACAGG